AUGAGUUGCUUUCAGCUCACCAAAAAAUUAUGCGGGAACCUGACAUCUAUCUCUUCUAACUUUUGGUGGGGUGAAGCUAAUGGUGAGAAAAAGGUUCAUUGGAUUGCCUGGAAGAAAAUGUGUGUCAGCAAGCAGGAGGGGGGGAUGGGAUUUCGUGAUAUGGAAGCAUUCAACCAGGCCUUGCUUGCCAAGCAGGCAUGGAGACUACUCCGGGUCCCUUCUUAUCUUUGUGCUCGAGUCCUCAAAGCGCGCUACUAUGAGCAUGGCUCUAUCCUUAAUGCAACCUGUCCCUGUUGGGGAACGUAG
RNAcentral lists this ribosomal RNA (306 nucleotides) under Triticum aestivum (bread wheat). Its description in RNAcentral is "partial small subunit ribosomal RNA". Lineage: Eukaryota; Viridiplantae; Streptophyta; Magnoliopsida; Poales; Poaceae. The record is from RNAcentral.